UUUUAUCGGCAGCAGCAGCAGCAACAGCAACGUCAGCAGCAUUACGCCUCUCUUUCUCUAAGUCUGAAGGACAUCAUAAGAAUCAGAAAAAGGGUGCCGGAAGAAUUUCUCUGCUAUGAUAUCAUUUCCUUUGUCUCAUUUCCUCUGAAGAUUUUAAUCUUGAGUACCUCACACCUAUUUCUUUAAUUCCUAGGAAGCUUGACAUGAAUGGCGAUUUCACAUUUACACUGUCUGCAAUCUGUGAGAGUUUCUUUCCCCUGCCGUCCUUCCGUUUCUAACAAUUAUUAUUAUGGUAGAGACAAUUUCACGAGAAAGAGCAGUUCCCUUGUUUAUGCCUCCACCAACAACUUGGACAGGGACCUUCAUCUUCAAUCAAAGGUACCUAUUUAUGCAGUCAGAUCAUACCCGGACUGUUGUGUUGUGGUACGGACUUACAGGUCUUAAACAGAGAAAAGAGAGAAUGAUAUUGCUGGAUGGUUUUUUCUCAUUAGCAUAUCUUGAAGCUGUCCAUUGUUGUUCGAUACCAUCUGGACUGUACGCUCCUUACUUCCAAAGAAAAAGUAUUACAUAGAAAUAUUUCUAAUAAGUGAUACAGAAGGAUUCUUCAUUGUUUUUAUCUUAUCUUGAUAAACCCAUUAGCAUUUAUAGAAUCAAUACUGACUACAUCUAACCCCUGUUCUUUAGCUGUUUCUCAAAUAAAAUAAAAUUUUGUUA
Long non-coding RNA from Prunus dulcis (almond), 714 nucleotides. RefSeq lists it as uncharacterized. Lineage: Eukaryota; Viridiplantae; Streptophyta; Magnoliopsida; Rosales; Rosaceae. The transcript has 4 exons. The record is from RefSeq and is a predicted model, not a curated record.